This 626-nucleotide long non-coding RNA is filed under the name Homo sapiens (human). Its description in RNAcentral is "HSALNT0367083". The record is from RNAcentral. Lineage: Eukaryota; Metazoa; Chordata; Mammalia; Primates; Hominidae.
GCAGGUCCAUGACCCCCACUCAGUGGGACCUCCUGAUGGGUCACCAGCCCUUCUUGCUGGUGUUUUCCAGCUGGCAGUGGUUCUGAGUCUCUCUGAGACGGAUGCCCCAGCUGGGGGGAUGGACCGCCAUCUUUGCUGUCUAACAGCCUUAGCCAUUGUUGCCUUCAGGCUCUAGGGAGUCCGAGGAGACCAGGGAAUGAAGCGCUCCCCAGCACAGUGCAGCAGUUCUACAGAGAAGCAGCCAGACUGAUUUUUCGUGCAAGUCCUUUAUGCUGUUUCUCUUUACUGGGCAGAAUCUCCAAACCGAGGACGACAACCACCCCCAUAGAUGUGUUCAGGCAAGCAAAUAGCUAGAACAUCAAUAAGAUGCUGGAGUUUAAUCAACCACAGCAGACUGUGAGGUGGAAGCCACUUGGUGAUUGUGAGCCAGCACCAAGAUCGAAGGCAUUUGGAUCCCUGGUGAUCACAGACCCAGCAUGUCAUCUCUGCAAAGGUCUUUGAGCAGGAGCCCAAGGAAGGAAAAAUAAGGACACACAUUUUUGGCUGGAUUAGUAACAUCUUUCCUUUGUCUUCAUCCACCAGUGUUCUUGGUACACUGAAAUCUUCCCAGAAAGUGUGGAAUAUUG